RNAcentral lists this ribosomal RNA (253 nucleotides) under uncultured bacterium. RNAcentral's name for it is "partial 16S ribosomal RNA". It matches the Rfam family "Bacterial small subunit ribosomal RNA", at positions 524 to 776 of the family's 1533-position model. The record is from RNAcentral.
UACGGAGGAUCCAAGCGUUAUCCGGAUUCAUUGGGCUUAAAGGGUGCGUAGGCGGAAUAGUAAGUCAGUGGUGAAAGCCUGUCGCUUAACGACAGAACUGCCAUUGAUACUGCUAAUCUUGAGUACAGUUGAAGUGGGCGGAAUGUGUAGUGUAGUGGUGAAAUACUUAGAUAUUACACAGAAUACCGAUUGCGAAGGCAGCUCACUAAACUGUAACUGACGCUGAGGCACGAAAGCGUGGGGAUCAAACAGG